Molecule: ribosomal RNA, 566 nt
Filed under: uncultured bacterium
Lineage: Bacteria
Description: partial 16S ribosomal RNA
Rfam family: Bacterial small subunit ribosomal RNA
Source: RNAcentral
UGGGGAAUUUUGGACAAUGGGGGAAACCCUGAUCCAGCCAUCCCGCGUGUGCGAUGAAGGCCUUCGGGUUGUAAAGCACUUUUGGCAGGAAAGAAACGUCGCGGGCUAAUACCCCGCGAAACUGACGGUACCUGCAGAAUAAGCACCGGCUAACUACGUGCCAGCAGCCGCGGUAAUACGUAGGGUGCAAGCGUUAAUCGGAAUUACUGGGCGUAAAGCGUGCGCAGGCGGUUCGGAAAGAAAGAUGUGAAAUCCCAGAGCUUAACUUUGGAACUGCAUUUUUAACUACCGGGCUAGAGUGUGUCAGAGGGAGGUGGAAUUCCGCGUGUAGCAGUGAAAUGCGUAGAUAUGCGGAGGAACACCGAUGGCGAAGGCAGCCUCCUGGGAUAACACUGACGCUCAUGCACGAAAGCGUGGGGAGCAAACAGGAUUAGAUACCCUGGUAGUCCACGCCCUAAACGAUGUCAACUAGCUGUUGGGGCCUUCGGGCCUUGGUAGCGCAGCUAACGCGUGAAGUUGACCGCCUGGGGAGUACGGUCGCAAGAUUAAAACUCAAAUGAAUUGAC